This 1371-nucleotide ribosomal RNA is filed under the name metagenome. Its description in RNAcentral is "bacterial LSU rRNA". It matches the Rfam family "Bacterial large subunit ribosomal RNA", at positions 1536 to 2925 of the family's 2925-position model. The record is from RNAcentral.
CAAAAUCCGUUUAGACAAUGCUAGGAUGUGAUGGGGAAGCCCUUCGGGGCGAAGUAGCUGAUUUCACACUGUCAAGAAAAGCUUCUAUCGAGUUUAAAGGCGCCCGUACCGUAAACCGACACAGGUGGGUGAGGAGAGUAUCCUAAGGCCAGCGAGAAAACUAUUGUUAAGGAACUCGGCAAAAUGACCCCGUAACUUAGGGAGAAGGGGUGCCUGUCUAUGACAGGCCGCAGAGAAUAGGCCCAAGCGACUGUUUACCAAAAACACAGGUUUCUGCUAAGUCGUAAGACGAUGUAUAGGAGCUGACGCCUGCCCGGUGCUGGAAGGUUAAGGGGAUCUGUUAGAGCAAUCGAAGCAGUGAACUUAAGCCCCAGUAAACGGCGGCCGUAACAAUAACGGUCCUAAGGUAGCGAAAUUCCUUGUCGGGUAAGUUCCGACCCGCACGAAAGGCGUAACGAUUUGGGCACUGUCUCAACAAUAGACUCGGUGAAAUUGUAAUCCCGGUGAAGAUGCCGGGUACCUGCGACAGGACGGAAAGACCCCAUGGAGCUUUACUGUAGCUUGACGUUGGGUCUUGGUACUACAUGUACAGGAUAGGUGGGAGACUAUGAAGCAUGGACGCCAGUCUGUGUGGAGUCAUCCUUGGGAUACCACCCUUGUAGUACUGGGAUCCUAACCAUAGGCCUUGAAUCAGGUCUUGGAACACCGUCAGGUGGGCAGUUUGACUGGGGCGGUCGCCUCCUAAAAAGUAACGGAGGCGCUCAAAGGUUUCCUCAGCACGGUCGGAAAUCGUGCGAAGAGUGUAAAGGCAAAAGGAAGCUUGAUUGCAAGACAUACAGGUCGAGCAAGGACGAAAGUCGGACUUAGUGAUCCGGUGGUACCGCAUGGAAGGGCCAUCGCUCAACGGAUAAAAGCUACCCUGGGGAUAACAGGCUUAUCUCCCCCAAGAGUCCACAUCGACGGGGAGGUUUGGCACCUCGAUGUCGGCUCAUCACAUCCUGGGGCUGUAGUAGGUCCCAAGGGUUGGGCUGUUCGCCCAUUAAAGUGGUACGCGAGCUGGGUUCAGAACGUCGUGAGACAGUUCGGUCCCUAUCCGUCGCAGGCGUAGGAAAUUUGAGAAGACCUGUCCUUAGUACGAGAGGACCGGGAUGGACGUACCUCUGGUGUACCAGUUGUUCUGCCAAGGGCAUGGCUGGGUAGCUAUGUACGGAAUGGAUAAGCGCUGAAAGCAUCUAAGCGCGAAGCCAACUUCAAGAUAAGAUUUCCCACCGUAAGGGUAAGACCCCAGGAAGACUACCUGGUUGAUAGGUCGAAGGUGUAAGUGCAGUAAUGUAUUUAGCUUAUUGAUACUAAUAGGUCGAGGACUUGACC